GACCGCGCGGUGCUGGUGCGAAAUUCAUCUGAUGGAGGACGCAGCGAAGUUGGAUCCGACCAGCAUUGAGUUUUGCGAGAGGAGGAUCGAGCAAUUGAAGAGUCAGAAGAGGAAACUUGAGAUGACUACGACGGAAAAUUUCGCGGAGCAAGCGGAUCCGAAGGGCGGGAAGAAGCGUUGCAAGGAGGUUAAGUCUCUGCUAGAGAGGAAGGUCAAGAAUCCCGAGACGAGGCAGGCGGAUCAGGAGGACGCGAGGAAGCAUGCAAAGCAGAUCGGCUCUCUGGAGAAGGUCAUCAAGUUCAUGGAGAAGAGGAGGGAAUAUAUUAUUAUUGCGGCGGAAAGAUCUAUUUCCGUGGAGGCUGCGCAGGAGCUGGCGGAGCAGGAGGAGGAGCUGAAGGACGAGGAGCAGCCGGGCGGAGAGUGGAUGCAAGAAUACACGAGAGUCCAGGAUCUUAAUGCUGCGACCGAUAACCUUCCCACUCUGACCGAUGGCCACAAGGACCCUGCCACCGUUGCUGCUGUGCUCGACCCGGAUGACAAGAGCAAGAUCAUAAAUGUGGCAAAGUCAGUUGUCAAAGUUUCCUUUCCCCCACCAAAUCGAGGUCGGGAAUAUUUGGAUCAGUGGUAUACUGGCAUCAUCAUCAGUUGGGAUGUGCCCAAUAAGACAGCAAUGAUCCUCAGUGGUGGUUGUUUGGACCGCGACAUUGAUGAUAAGUCCAAGAGGAAGAUAUUCGUGCAUUAUCCAUACAUGGAAGAUGAUGGCUUAAUUGAGGCAAAACUUCUCUUCUUCAGCACAUUCUAUCAACUUUCUUUGCUGGAGGUUGCUUUUCAGGGGAUGCUGCUGGAUGUCCCGACACAGAUUCCCCAUUUUGGUUCAACCCACCCAAAACGUGGUGAUGAGGUAUUUUCAUUGGGUAGGGACCAGUGGCGGAGGACGGAUGAAAAUCGAGGACCUCGUCGGCCAAUCCAUGGCGGGCGGACGCCAGCUUGGAAGCGGGGACCAGCUAUUUGCAGGGGUGUCCGCGCCAAACAAGGUAUGGCGAGCGCCAUAGCUCGCCAUAACAGGUCCUCCGCCCCUGGUAGGGACAAAGAUUUGUCAUUGGUGGUCCGUCGUGGGACAAUUGUGAAAGAUGGGUGUCUCAUUGGGUUGCGCCAAGGUUACCUGUUUCUGGACUAUGAACUACCUGGGGGUGGCACAGGAGGACCUGUGGUUGAUCAUCAAGGUGACGUGGUAGGGAUGGUAAUGGCUUGUGAUGAUUACAUAGCAAUUAUUCUUCCUAUCUCUAUUGUCCUCUCAUGUUUUCGUAUGUGGACAGAUUUCAGGUUUGUUUCCCAUCUUGUUUCAGUCUAUUUCUAUCUCUACCACCUUCUUAUAGUAUCGCUAUGUGGAUUAAGUUUGGGUUUGUUUCCUAUUUUUCCGGGUAGGUUCUCUUUGGGCUUUCCAGUUUUAACGUUAAAGACUUUCAUUAGAGUUAUAGGUAUUAUCUCCCUGUCUGUAUGCUUUCUUGUAACAGAAUUAAUCAAUUCACAAUUCUUCAUCAGCAGGGAGCAUAACUCCUGCUCAAAUGCAUACAGGCUCAGGACAUAAGCCAACAACUAGGAGCACAAAGACUCGUCACUCGCAUCAAACUCAAAGUAACACACAUGCAUCCUAAGCAACCCCCUAAAAACAGAAGCUCUGUUGAUUUCUGCAUCAACUCCAGGACCAGGCCUAGUAGCGCAGCUUGGAGCCACCAGCACCAGUAGCCCCUGCAGCCCCAUUAGAUGCUCAGAUCAGCCAUCAGGAUGCACCAGUUAUCCAGCAGAUUCUCCCUAGCCUCAUCAUCAGUACUUCCAAUAUUUUCAACAAGUCGUGGUAUUUCUCCAGAUAUUGUGUUGGGCACUGCAAUGCCCAGUUCUGAUAUGCACAAACAGUUUGUUCGACUCUAUGCCAUGUUUACUCAAAAUCUUGCACAUAACACUAGCUUAUUUAGUCAUCUUUAUAUGAAUCAGAAAAGCGGGGGUCACGUGUAUCAUUACAGAAUACAGAUACAACAAACUUAUUGGCAGACGAAUAGCUCGUCCCUUGCUCGGUAUGAGCUGUAGGAAUGCGGAAGCUCUGGAUUCUCGCUCUGGUGACAUCAGAUUUGAUGCUUUAGUUGUAACUAAGGUUGACCCGACUUCUGCCGCAUGGAAGCAGGGCAUUAGAAGUGGGAAUUUGAUUGUUUCCUUUGAUGAGCAGGCUCCUAAACCUUUGCCGGAGUUUGAAGUUUUUCUACUGUCGCUUGGUUCAAAGAACCUCCAUGGGACACACACGGAGGUUGAUUUCAAG
Panicum virgatum (switchgrass) is the source of this 2311-nucleotide RNA transcript. RefSeq lists it as uncharacterized. The transcript is spliced from 9 exons. Lineage: Eukaryota; Viridiplantae; Streptophyta; Magnoliopsida; Poales; Poaceae. The record is from RefSeq and is a predicted model, not a curated record.